This 509-nucleotide ribosomal RNA is filed under the name uncultured glomeraceous AM fungus. RNAcentral describes it as "SSU rRNA". It matches the Rfam family "Eukaryotic small subunit ribosomal RNA", at positions 569 to 1078 of the family's 1831-position model. The record is from RNAcentral. Lineage: Eukaryota; Fungi; Glomeromycota; Glomeromycetes; Glomerales; Glomeraceae.
AGCAGCCGCGGUAAUUCCAGCUCCAAUAGCGUAUAUUAAAGUUGUUGCAGUUAAAAAGCUCGUAGUUGAAUUUCGGGAUCAAUGUUUCGGUCAUGCCCUUGGUAUGUACUGAUAUUAUUGGUUUCUCACCUUCUAAAGAACCGUAAUGCCAUUAAUUUGGUGUCACGGGGAAUUAGGACUGUUACCUUGAAAAAAUUAGAGUGUUUAAAGCAGGCUCACGCUUGAAUACAUUAGCAUGGAAUAAUGAAAUAGGACAUCCGAUUCUAUUUUGUUGGUUUCUAGAAUCGAUGUAAUGAUUAAUAGGGAUAGUUGGGGGCAUUAGUAUUCAAUUGUCAGAGGUGAAAUUCUUGGAUUUAUUGAAGACUAACUACUGCGAAAGCAUUUGCCAAGGAUGUUUUCAUUAAUCAAGAACGAAAGUUAGGGGAUCGAAGACGAUCAGAUACCGUCGUAGUCUUAACCAUAAACUAUGCCGACUAGGGAUCGAAUGAUGUUAAUUUUUUAAUGACUCA